CACACAUAUUUUCACAUGGCCUUAAUAUAAAAUUAAUAAGCGUAACAGUUUUGUUGGCGUUUCGUUACCAUGGAGCAUGACACAAUUUCGAAAACUUCUUUUUACGUUUAGUUCCAAACCAAGGAAAAGCAUAUAUUAUUGUGAGGAAGGGAUGAUGACGAUUGUAUAAAAGGGGGAGGGAGGCAUUCGCCAGUGCGUGGUUUAACUGUAUAACCUGUUUGGUAGCAAUAAGGAAAUGAAAACGUUUGUAAAAGCAAGCACAAGUUUUUCAUACCCUGACAGGGCCAUUUAAUGUUACAGUUAGACUCAAGUAAAUAACGGUCUAAAAUGUUUAAAGGAACGACAAGUUUUCGACCAC
Hylaeus volcanicus is the source of this 358-nucleotide long non-coding RNA. RefSeq lists it as uncharacterized. The transcript is spliced from 3 exons. NCBI's taxonomy places the organism in Eukaryota, Metazoa, Arthropoda, Insecta, Hymenoptera, Colletidae. The record is from RefSeq and is a predicted model, not a curated record.